Molecule: ribosomal RNA, 641 nt
Filed under: Candida tropicalis
Lineage: Eukaryota; Fungi; Ascomycota; Pichiomycetes; Serinales; Debaryomycetaceae
Description: partial 18S ribosomal RNA
Rfam family: Eukaryotic large subunit ribosomal RNA
Source: RNAcentral
AGUUUUUUUUCCUGUUAUUAUAUACAAUAAGCGUGAGGAAUAGAAACCAACAGGGAUUGCCUUAGUAGCGGCGAGUGAAGCGGCAAAAGCUCAAAUUUGAAAUCUGGCUCUUUCAGAGUCCGAGUUGUAAUUUGAAGAAGGUAUCUUUGGGUCUGGCUCUUGUCUAUGUUUCUUGGAACAGAACGUCACAGAGGGUGAGAAUCCCGUGCGAUGAGAUGAAUCCAGGCCUAUGUAAAGUUCCUUCGAAGAGUCGAGUUGUUUGGGAAUGCAGCUCUAAGUGGGUGGUAAAUUCCAUCUAAAGCUAAAUAUUGGCGAGAGACCGAUAGCGAACAAGUACAGUGAUGGAAAGAUGAAAAGAACUUUGAAAAGAGAGUGAAAAAGUACGUGAAAUUGUUGAAAGGGAAGGGCUUGAGAUCAGACUUGUGGUAUUUUGUAUGUUACUUCUUCGGGGGUGGCCUCUACAGUUUAUCGGGCCAGCAUCAGUUUGGGCGGUAGGAGAAUUGCGUUGGAAUGUGGCACGGCUUCGGUUGUGUGUUAUAGCCUUCGUCGAUACUGCCAGCCUAGACUGAGGACUGCGGUUUAUACCUAGGAUGUUGGCAUAAUUAUGCUAAUCGUGGGAAAAAAAUAAAAAAAAAAAGGGG